RNAcentral lists this ribosomal RNA (718 nucleotides) under uncultured Fusobacterium sp. RNAcentral describes it as "bacterial SSU rRNA". It matches the Rfam family "Bacterial small subunit ribosomal RNA", at positions 33 to 763 of the family's 1533-position model. The record is from RNAcentral. Lineage: Bacteria; Fusobacteriati; Fusobacteriota; Fusobacteriia; Fusobacteriales; Fusobacteriaceae.
ACGCUGACAGAAUGCUUAACACAUGCAAGUCUACUUGAAUUUGGGUUUUUUAACUUCGAUUUGGGUGGCGGACGGGUGAGUAACGCGUAAAGAACUUGCCUCACAGCUAGGGACAACAUUUGGAAACGAAUGCUAAUACCUGAUAUUAUGAUUAUAGGGCAUCCUAGAAUUAUGAAAGCUAUAUGCGCUGUGAGAGAGCUUUGCGUCCCAUUAGCUAGUUGGAGAGGUAACGGCUCACCAAGGCGAUGAUGGGUAGCCGGCCUGAGAGGGUGAACGGCCACAAGGGGACUGAGACACGGCCCCUACUCCUACGGGAGGCAGCAGUGGGGAAUAUUGGACAAUGGACCGAGAGUCUGAUCCAGCAAUUCUGUGUGCACGAUGACGUUUUUCGGAAUGUAAAGUGCUUUCAGUUGGGAAGAAAAAAAUGACGGUACCAACAGAAGAAGUGACGGCUAAAUACGUGCCAGCAGCCGCGGUAAUACGUAUGUCACGAGCGUUAUCCGGAUUUAUUGGGCGUAAAGCGCGUCUAGGUGGUUAUGUAAGUCUGAUGUGAAAAUGCAGGGCUCAACUCUGUAUUGCGUUGGAAACUGUGUAACUAGAGUACUGGAGAGGUAAGCGGAACUACAAGUGUAGAGGUGAAAUUCGUAGAUAUUUGUAGGAAUGCCGAUGGGGAAGCCAGCUUACUGGACAGAUACUGACGCUGAAGCGCGAAAGCGUG